This 224-nucleotide ribosomal RNA is filed under the name uncultured bacterium. RNAcentral's name for it is "partial 16S ribosomal RNA". It matches the Rfam family "Bacterial small subunit ribosomal RNA", at positions 15 to 231 of the family's 1533-position model. The record is from RNAcentral.
GAUCAUGGCUCAGGAUGAACGCUAGCUACAGGCUUAACACAUGCAAGUCGAGGGGCAGCAUGGUCUUAGCUUGCUAAGCCGAUGGCGACCGGCGCACGGGUGAGUAACACGUAUCCAACCUGCCGUCUACUCUUGGACAGCCCUCUGAAAGGAAGAUUAAUACAAGAUGGCAUCAUGAGUCCACAUGUUCACAUGAUUAAAGGUAUUCCGGUAGACGAUGGGGA